GACGAACGCUGGCGGCGUGCUUAACACAUGCAAGUCGAACGGAAAGGCCUUUUCGGAGGUACUCGAGUGGCGCACGGGUGAGUAACACGUGGGUGAUCUGCCCUGCACUCUGGGAUAAGCCUGGGAAACUGGGUCUAAUACCGGAUAGGACCGCACUUUAGUGUGUGUGGUGGAAAGUUGUUUCGGUGUAGGAUGAGCCCGCGGCCUAUCAGCUUGUUGGUGGGGUAAUGGCCUACCAAGGCGGCGACGGGUAGCCGGACUGAGAGGUUGGUCGGCCACAUUGGGACUGAGAUACGGCCCAGACUCCUACGGGAGGCAGCAGUGGGGAAUAUUGCACAAUGGGCGCAAGCCUGAUGCAGCGACGCCGCGUGGGGGAUGACGGCCUUCGGGUUGUAAACUCCUUUCGCCAGGGACGAAGCGUUUUGUGACGGUACCUGGAGAAGAAGCACCGGCUAACUACGU
This 462-nucleotide ribosomal RNA is filed under the name uncultured bacterium. RNAcentral describes it as "partial 16S ribosomal RNA". It matches the Rfam family "Bacterial small subunit ribosomal RNA", at positions 28 to 506 of the family's 1533-position model. The record is from RNAcentral.